UACGUAGGGUGCAAGCGUUGUCCGGAAUUAUUGGGCGUAAAGAGCUCGUAGGCGGUCUGUCGCGUCGGAUGUGAAAACCCAGGGCUCAACCCUGGGCCUGCAUUCGAUACGGGCAGACUAGAGUUCGGUAGGGGAGACUGGAAUUCCUGGUGUAGCGGUGAAAUGCGCAGAUAUCAGGAGGAACACCGGUGGCGAAGGCGGGUCUCUGGGCCGAUAUCGACGCUGAGGAGCGAAAGCGUGGGGAGCGAACAGG
RNAcentral lists this ribosomal RNA (253 nucleotides) under uncultured bacterium. RNAcentral's name for it is "partial 16S ribosomal RNA". It matches the Rfam family "Bacterial small subunit ribosomal RNA", at positions 524 to 776 of the family's 1533-position model. The record is from RNAcentral.